Molecule: ribosomal RNA, 309 nt
Filed under: uncultured bacterium
Lineage: Bacteria
Description: bacterial SSU rRNA
Rfam family: Bacterial small subunit ribosomal RNA
Source: RNAcentral
GACGAACGCUGGCGGCGUGCCUAAUACAUGCAAGUCGAACGGUCUUUUCUAUGGAAGCUUGCUUCCACUGAGAAGAUAGUGGCGGACGGGUGAGUAACACGUGGGUAACCUGCCCAUAAGAGGGGGAUAACAUCCGGAAACGGGUGCUAAUACCGCAUAGGUUUCUUGGUCGCAUGAUCGAGAAAGGAAGACGGCCUUUGUGCUGUCGCUUAUGGAUGGACCCGCGGCGUAUUAGUUAGUUGGUGAGGUAACGGCUCACCAAGACCACGAUGCAUAGCCGACCUGAGAGGUGAUCGGCCACAUGGGACU